AGCGAACGCUGGCGGCAGGCCUAACACAUGCAAGUCGAACGGACCCUUCGGGGUUAGUGGCGGACGGGUGAGUAACACGUGGGAACGUGCCUUUAGGUUCGGAAUAGCUCCUGGAAACGGGUGGUAAUGCCGAAUGUGCCCUUCGGGGGAAAGAUUUAUCGCCUUUAGAGCGGCCCGCGUCUGAUUAGCCAGUUGGUGAGGUAACGGCUCACCAAGGCGACGAUCAGUAGCUGGUCUGAGAGGAUGACCAGCCACACUGGGACUGAGACACGGCCCAGACUCCUACGGGAGGCAGCAGUGGGGAAUCUUGCGCAAUGGGCGAAAGCCUGACGCAGCCAUGCCGCGUGAAUGAUGAAGGUCUUAGGAUUGUAAAAUUCUUUCACCGGGGACGAUAAUGACGGUACCCGGAGAAGAAGCCCCGGCUAACUUCGUGCCAGCCGCCGCAGUAA
Molecule: ribosomal RNA, 449 nt
Filed under: uncultured bacterium
Lineage: Bacteria
Description: partial 16S ribosomal RNA
Rfam family: Bacterial small subunit ribosomal RNA
Source: RNAcentral